GCAGGCUUAACACAUGCAAGUCGAACGGUAGCAGGAGGAAGCUUGCUUUCUUGCUGACGAGUGGCGGACGGGUGAGUAAUGCUUGGGAAUCUGGCUUAUGGAGGGGGAUAACUACUGGAAACGGUAGCUAAUACCGCGUAAUAUCGAGAGAUUAAAGGGUGGGACUUUCGGGCCACCUGCCAUAAGAUGAGCCCAAGUGGGAUUAGGUAGUUGGUGGGGUAAAGGCCUACCAAGCCUGCGAUCUCUAGCUGGUCUGAGAGGAUGGCCAGCCACACUGGAACUGAGACACGGUCCAGACUCCUACGGGAGGCAGCAGUGGGGAAUAUUGCACAAUGGGGGGAACCCUGAUGCAGCCAUGCCGCGUGAAUGAAGAAGGCCUUCGGGUUGUAAAGUUCUUUCGGUGAUGAGGAAGGUGUUUUGUUUAAUAGACAAGGCAAUUGACGUUAGUCACAGAAGAAGCACCGGCUAACUCCGUGCCAGCAGCCGCGGUAAUACGGAGGGUGCGAGCGUUAAUCGGAAUAACUGGGCGUAAAGGGCACGCAGGCGGAUUGUUAAGUGAGAUGUGAAAGCCCCGAGCUUAACUUGGGAAUUGCAUUUCAGACUGGCAGUCUAGAGUAUUUUAGGGAGGGGUAGAAUUCCACGUGUAGCGGUGAAAUGCGUAGAGAUGUGGAGGAAUACCGAAGGCGAAGGCAGCCCCUUGGGAAUAUACUGACGCUCAUGUGCGAAAGCGUGGGGAG
Molecule: ribosomal RNA, 737 nt
Filed under: Pasteurellaceae bacterium I31
Lineage: Bacteria; Pseudomonadati; Pseudomonadota; Gammaproteobacteria; Pasteurellales; Pasteurellaceae
Description: bacterial SSU rRNA
Rfam family: Bacterial small subunit ribosomal RNA
Source: RNAcentral